UGAGGAAUAUUGGUCAAUGGGCGAGAGCCUGAACCAGCCAAGUAGCGUGCAGGAUGACGGCCCUAUGGGUUGUAAACUGCUUUUAUAAGGGAAUAAAGUGAGCCUCGUGAGGCUUUUUGCAUGUACCUUAUGAAUAAGGACCGGCUAAUUCCGUGCCAGCAGCCGCGGUAAUACGGAAGGUCCGGGCGUUAUCCGGAUUUAUUGGGUUUAAAGGGAGCGUAGGCCGGAGAUUAAGCGUGUUGUGAAAUGUAGACGCUCAACGUCUGCACUGCAGCGCGAACUGGUUUCCUUGAGUACGCACAAAGUGGGCGGAAUUCGUGGUGUAGCGGUGAAAUGCUUAGAUAUCACGAAGAACUCCGAUUGCGAAGGCAGCUCACUGGAGCGCAACUGACGCUGAAGCUCGAAAGUGCGGGUAUCGAACAGGAUUAGAUACCCUGGUAGUCCGCACGGUAAACGAUGGAUGCCCGCUGUUGGUCUGAACAGGUCAGCGGCCAAGCGAAAGCAUUAAGCAUCCCACCUGGGGAGUACGCCGGCAACGGUGAAACUCAAAGGAAUUGACGGGGGCCCGCACAAGCGGAGGAACAUGUGGUUUAAUUCGAUGAUACGCGAGGAACCUUACCCGGGCUUGAAUUGCAGAGGAAGGAUUUGGAGACAAUGACGCCCUUCGGGGCCUCUGUGAAGGUGCUGCAUGGUUGUCGUCAGCUCGUGCCGUGAGGUGUCGGCUUAAGUGCCAUAACGAGCGCAACCCCUCUCCUUAGUUGCCAUCAGGUUAAGCUGGGCACUCUGGGGACACUGCCACCGUAAGGUGUGAGGAAGGUGGGGAUGACGUCAAAUCAGCACGGCCCUUACGUCCGGGGCUACACACGUGUUACAAUGGCAGGUACAGAGAGACGGUCCCUUGCAAAAUGGAUCAAAUCCUUAAAGCCUAUCUCAGUUCGGACUGGGGUCUGCAACCCGACCCCACGAAGCUGGAUUCGCUAGUAAUCGCGCAUCAGCCAUGGCGCGGUGAAUACGUUCCC
Molecule: ribosomal RNA, 1019 nt
Filed under: uncultured bacterium
Lineage: Bacteria
Description: bacterial SSU rRNA
Rfam family: Bacterial small subunit ribosomal RNA
Source: RNAcentral